Molecule: transfer RNA, 92 nt
Filed under: Mycolicibacterium fallax
Lineage: Bacteria; Bacillati; Actinomycetota; Actinomycetes; Mycobacteriales; Mycobacteriaceae
Description: tRNA-Pro
Source: RNAcentral
GCGGCGGCUGGACCGACGGCAACCACCGGCUCGGCACCGGCCCGGAAAAGGACGUCGGGUUCCCGUACCGUUCGGCGCUGGUGCCGCGGCGC